ACUAGCUUGCUAGUUGCUGACGAGUGGCGGACGGGUGCGUAACGCGUGGAAAUCUACCUAUUAGUUGGGGACAACCUGAGGAAACUCAGGCUAAUACCGAAUGUGGUCUACGGACAAAAGGUUGCCUCUCCUUGGAAGCAAUCGCUAAUAGAUGAGUCCGCGUUGGAUUAGCUAGAUGGUGGGGUAAAGGCCUACCAUGGCGACGAUCCAUAGCUGGUUUGAGAGGAUGAUCAGCCACACUGGGACUGAGACACGGCCCAGACUCC
RNAcentral lists this ribosomal RNA (266 nucleotides) under unidentified marine bacterioplankton. RNAcentral describes it as "partial 16S ribosomal RNA". It matches the Rfam family "Bacterial small subunit ribosomal RNA", at positions 74 to 339 of the family's 1533-position model. The record is from RNAcentral.